RNAcentral lists this ribosomal RNA (491 nucleotides) under uncultured bacterium. RNAcentral describes it as "partial 16S ribosomal RNA". It matches the Rfam family "Bacterial small subunit ribosomal RNA", at positions 28 to 507 of the family's 1533-position model. The record is from RNAcentral.
GAUGAACGCUGUCUACAGGCUUAACACAUGCAAGUCGAGGGGAAACGACGGGGAAGCUUGCUUCCCCGGGCGUCGACCGGCGCACGGGUGAGUAACGCGUAUCCAACCUGCCUCUGUCUGAGGGAUAACCCGUCGAAAGUCGGCCUAAUACCUCAUGGCAUCGUCUGCGGGCAUCCAACGACGAUUAAAGAUUUCAUCGGUCAGGGAUGGGGAUGCGUCUGAUUAGCUUGUUGGCGGGGUAACGGCCCACCAAGGCUACGAUCAGUAGGGGUUCUGAGAGGAAGGUCCCCCACAUUGGAACUGAGACACGGUCCAAACUCCUACGGGAGGCAGCAGUGAGGAAUAUUGGUCAAUGGGCGGGAGCCUGAACCAGCCAAGUAGCGUGCAGGAUGACGGCCCUAUGGGUUGUAAACUGCUUUUAUGCGGGGAUAAAGUGAGGGACGUGUCCUUCAUUGCAGGUACCGCAUGAAUAAGGACCGGCUAAUUCCGUG